Molecule: ribosomal RNA, 411 nt
Filed under: Triticum aestivum (bread wheat)
Lineage: Eukaryota; Viridiplantae; Streptophyta; Magnoliopsida; Poales; Poaceae
Description: partial small subunit ribosomal RNA
Source: RNAcentral
AUGGCGCCGGACUGUCCUUCUGCUGAGGGCUCGGAAGAUAUGUCCGUCACCAACUCGGAAGUGGAGAGCGCCAUGAAUCAUUGGCGCCGGAGGGCCAUUUUACGAAACCCCCGCUUCUCAAAAGAGGCUUUCGGCGCCUUCAGCUCGGCUGAUGCAUACAUCCGGGCUUCUCGAGAUGGGCUUAACAGAGCCUCAAAGCAGCAUUUAAAAGAUGUGCAGGUUCUUACGGAGAAGAACGACCUGCUAGCCCAAGAGCCGGAAAAGCGUCGGACACAGCUAACUGCUGCUACCACCGAACUGGAAAAGUUCAAGAAAGUGUCCUCUGGUAAUAUUUCCCUCCAUCAAGAAAAAAUAAUUAUAUGCCAGCUGUCGUGGUUUUGUCACGGCAGAUGUCCUCGUGAAAGGACUUAG